This 73-nucleotide transfer RNA is filed under the name Candidatus Woesearchaeota archaeon. Its description in RNAcentral is "tRNA-Gln". It matches the Rfam family "tRNA". From Rfam's summary of the family: Transfer RNA (tRNA) molecules are approximately 80 nucleotides in length. Their secondary structure includes four short double-helical elements and three loops (D, anti-codon, and T loops). Further hydrogen bonds mediate the characteristic L-shaped molecular structure. tRNAs have two regions of fundamental functional importance: the anti-codon, which is responsible for specific mRNA codon recognition, and the 3' end, to which the tRNAs corresponding amino acid is attached (by aminoacyl-tRNA synthetases). tRNAs cope with the degeneracy of the genetic code in two manners: having more than one tRNA (with a specific anti-codon) for a particular amino acid; and 'wobble' base-pairing, i.e. permitting non-standard base-pairing at the 3rd anti-codon position. Lineage: Archaea; Nanobdellati; Candidatus Woesearchaeota. The record is from RNAcentral.
AGCCCCGUGGUGUAGUGGCCAAUCAUAUCGGCCUUUGGAGCCGAUGACCUAGGUUCGAAUCCUGGCGGGGCUA